This is a long non-coding RNA of Ipomoea triloba (trilobed morning glory), 587 nucleotides long. RefSeq lists it as uncharacterized. The transcript has 2 exons. Lineage: Eukaryota; Viridiplantae; Streptophyta; Magnoliopsida; Solanales; Convolvulaceae. The record is from RefSeq and is a predicted model, not a curated record.
CAAAUUAUACGCAAUGAUAAUCAUUUCUACCCACCGGAACGUCGCCGGCGUCGGCGUCAUCUCCAUUCUCCACCAUCGUACCUCAGACCAGCUCGGAUUCCGGCCUCCACUUCUUUCUCCACCGUGCUCGGUCGCUAUCAUAUCGUCGUCGACGGCUUGAUCCACCGGCCGCAGCUAAUUAGGAUCAAGAAAAGUAGAGCAUAUAUUCAUCAAGGCCGCCUAGAAGUACAAUGGCGUCCAAGAAUAAGAAGUGAAAUAGAGCUGUCCAGAACAUGAUCGAUUUUCUUCGUUCUUAGUCCGUCAACCCUGCCAGAAUUGAAGCUUCAGACACCAGAAGAAGAUCGAGUGAUUAUAAUUAAUGCAGCAGAUAAGUGACUAAUAUAUACUGUAUUAUAUUGUUGAAUUCGUCCCACACUGCGUGGCUUUUUACUUCUAAGAGAUUUUUAUUUAUUUAUUUAUUUUUUUGCUUCGAGAUUUUGAUAUCACAAACCCGGCCACUUUGACUUUUGAGUUUUUGAAGACAAUGACAAGUUUAUUUUCAAGAUGGCUAGCCAGUUCACUUGCUGGGUGAUAUGGCCAAAAAUAUA